RNAcentral lists this ribosomal RNA (253 nucleotides) under uncultured bacterium. RNAcentral describes it as "partial 16S ribosomal RNA". It matches the Rfam family "Bacterial small subunit ribosomal RNA", at positions 524 to 776 of the family's 1533-position model. The record is from RNAcentral.
UACAGAAGGUGCGAGCGUUGUCCGGAAUCACUGGGCGUAAAGGGCGCGUAGGUGGCGGCCCAAGUCCAUGGUGAAAGCUCGAUGCUCAACAUCGAGUCGGCCACGGAUACUGGGUUGCUCGAGCACUGUAGGGGCAGAUGGAAUUCCGGGUGUAGCGGUGGAAUGCGUAGAGAUCCGGAAGAACACCGGUGGCGAAGGCGGUCUGCUGGGCAGUUGCUGACACUGAGGCGCGACAGCGUGGGGAGCAAACAGG